RNAcentral lists this ribosomal RNA (423 nucleotides) under uncultured bacterium. RNAcentral describes it as "bacterial SSU rRNA". It matches the Rfam family "Bacterial small subunit ribosomal RNA", at positions 207 to 622 of the family's 1533-position model. The record is from RNAcentral.
AAGACCUUGCACUUUUGGAGCGGCCGAUGUCUGAUUAGCUAGUUGGUGGGGUAAAGGCCUACCAAAGCUUCGAUCAGCAGCUGGUCUGAGAGGACGGCCAGCCACACUGGGACUGAGACACGGCCCAGACUCCUACGGGAGGCAGCAGUGGGGAAUUUUGGACAAUGGGCGCAAGCCUGAUCCAGCCAUGCCGCGUGAGUGAAGAAGGCCCUCGGGUUGUAAAGCUCUUUCAGCCGGGAAGAAAAGGCUGCGACUAAUAAUCGCAGUUCAUGACGGUACCGGAAGAAGAAGCACCGGCUAACUACGUGCCAGCAGCCGCGGUAAUACGUAGGGUGCGAGCGUUAAUCGGAAUUACUGGGCGUAAAGGGUGCGCAGGCGGUUUUGUAAGUCAGAUGUGAAAUCCCCGGGCUUAACCUGGGAACU